Molecule: transfer RNA, 66 nt
Filed under: uncultured Enterocloster sp.
Lineage: Bacteria; Bacillati; Bacillota; Clostridia; Lachnospirales; Lachnospiraceae
Rfam family: tRNA
About the family: Transfer RNA (tRNA) molecules are approximately 80 nucleotides in length. Their secondary structure includes four short double-helical elements and three loops (D, anti-codon, and T loops).
Source: RNAcentral
ACUGUAGCGCAGUCGGUAGCGCAACUGAUUCGUAAUCAGUAGGUCGCCGGUUCGAGUCCGGCCAGU